GUAAGAUGCAGCCCUUCUCUCUCUUGUUCUUUAAGAGAGAGAAUUUUCUUCAGGACACGGUUCCUUUUAAUUUCUUGAGUUUUAUGCUCCCAUUUUGUCAUGCACAUCGAACUUCCUGUACCGCCAGGUUUCAGGAGUUAGAUCUCAUUCCAUCCUUCGCCGUCAACCAGCAAUGAUGAAGAAGGGCGUUGAGUUUUGCCAGUGAUGACUCGCAUAGAUUAUAGUCCCUAAAGGCAUAAAACGGCUGCCAAAAAGUCGAUCCAUCUCCAUCAUUGUUGUUGCUGUUAUAGAGAUCCCGUGGUUGUAUCCAAGGUUGCUCUUAAUAUGUUUGCAGGAAGAACGCUGGAGCUUGUGAGUUUCUGAAAAAUUUAGCAACUUUAUACUGUUGCGUGUCUUCUACGAGAUGAUUUUUUGGCAUUUUUUUAUGAUUAUAUUUGCUUCUGAGGAUAUACUUACUGGAGAUGAAAGUGCAACAACGCUACAACAAUAUGAUUGAUGGCCGGGCACUCGUUUUCCUGUCUGGGUUGACUCAGUUAGCCUAGGGACGUUUCUGGGUCUUUUAGGCUUGAAAAGUUUUCUUAUAACUGGACAGGACAGGCUUCUGAUUGUUAUGGUUUUGGACCAGCUUGAGCCCCUGUAAUAUAUUUCUCUUAGAA
Manihot esculenta (cassava) is the source of this 656-nucleotide long non-coding RNA. RefSeq lists it as uncharacterized. Lineage: Eukaryota; Viridiplantae; Streptophyta; Magnoliopsida; Malpighiales; Euphorbiaceae. The transcript is spliced from 2 exons. The record is from RefSeq and is a predicted model, not a curated record.